UAUGUACUUCUUCCGUCUGGAAAUACUUGUCGGAGAAAUAGAUAAAAAUGAAUGCAUCUAGAACUAAAAUACAUUUACAUACAUCUAUUUCUCCGACAAGUAUUUGAGGAUGGAGGGAGUACAUG
Triticum aestivum (bread wheat) is the source of this 125-nucleotide non-coding RNA. Lineage: Eukaryota; Viridiplantae; Streptophyta; Magnoliopsida; Poales; Poaceae. The record is from Rfam.